UACGUAGGGACCAAGCGUUGUCCGGAAUCAUUGGGCGUAAGGAGCGUGUAGGCGGCUUGUUAAGUCUUGCGUGAAAUCUCGGGGCUCAACCCCGAGCGGUCGUGAGAAACUGGCAGGCUAGAGUGCGGGAGAGGAGAGUGGAAUUCCUGGUGUAGCGGUGAAAUGCGCAGAUAUCAGGAAGAACACCCGUGGCGAAGGCGGCUCUCUGGAACGCAACUGACGCUGAGACGCGAAAGCGUGGGGAGCAAACAGG
Molecule: ribosomal RNA, 253 nt
Filed under: uncultured bacterium
Lineage: Bacteria
Description: partial 16S ribosomal RNA
Rfam family: Bacterial small subunit ribosomal RNA
Source: RNAcentral